UUUCCCUUUCUCCAGAUGUUCUUUUAUCUACUGGAAUACUCCUUACUUAUUAGACUGCCUGUGUGUAGGAUGUUAGUUUCUAUGUUCCUUCUUCCUUGUUCAGAAUAACCCAUCUUGUUUUAAUUUAUUACCCCCCACAUUCCAUUUCACUCCUGCUUUGUUUUGUAAUAAAAGACCAGUUCUGAUGCAGAGAGUCAGAACACAUGGUAAACACCUUGGAGAAGUGGUUUGCUAUGUUUUCUCCUUUUGCUAAAGACUUGAUUGAAAACUAAAACGUUGUCUGUGGUUCUCUUUUUAUGAAGGUUGAGAAAAUACCUGUCAUCUUGGUGUCGUGAUCCGGAUCUCACCACACCCGUUCGCUGACAGACGAAGAACGACGCGCUGAAAACCGUGCACAACCAGAGUCAACAGGACUUGGAAACAAAGUGCCUGGAAGUAACUUUUUCGCUGGGCCAGCGCCCUAUGUCCGACAUUGUCUGCCAACGGCGGAUUGACGAGAUCCGACCGGACAAGACGAACCAACAGAAACGAGAGGAUCUCAGUGUAGCUCCGGCUGGUUCUCCGGUACAGGUCCAGGCCUGUGAGUAGCUCAACAUCUCUGAUCCGGGCCGUGUGCAUCUUCAUCAGGUCCUCCACCCAGCGGGACUCAUCCUCAGAGCUCUGUUAGGUCUCGUCGUUGUUGGGUCGGUGUGGCAGGAUGAAAGCGGCGCUGCUCAGUGGACCAUUGCAUGAGUCUGCAGGCUGUCUGAAAUCCAGG
Molecule: long non-coding RNA, 757 nt
Organism: Gambusia affinis (western mosquitofish)
Lineage: Eukaryota; Metazoa; Chordata; Actinopteri; Cyprinodontiformes; Poeciliidae
Exons: 3
Source: RefSeq, a predicted model, not a curated record